RNAcentral lists this ribosomal RNA (460 nucleotides) under uncultured bacterium. Its description in RNAcentral is "partial 16S ribosomal RNA". It matches the Rfam family "Bacterial small subunit ribosomal RNA", at positions 338 to 795 of the family's 1533-position model. The record is from RNAcentral.
CCUACGGGAGGCAGCAGUGAGGAAUAUUAGUCAAUGGGCGCGAGCCUGAACCAGCCAAGCCGCGUGAGGGAGGACGGUCCUACGGGUCGUAAACCUCUUUUGCCGGGGAGCAACGGGUGUGACGCGUGGCGCCACUGAGAGUACUCGGAGAAAAAGCAUCGCCUAACCCCGUGCCAGCAGCCGCGGUAAUACGGAGGAUGCGAGCGUUACCCGGAUUUUUUGGGUUUAAGGGGGGCGUAGGCGGCUUGUUAAGUCAGUGGUCAAAUUGAGGGGCUCAACCCCUUCCCGCCGUUGAAACUGGCGGUCUUGAGUGGGAGAGAAGUAUGCGGAAUGCGUGGUGUAGCGGUGAAAUGCAUAGAUAUCGCGCAGAACCCCGAUUGCGAAGGCAGCAUGCCGGCUUCCGACUGACGCUGAGGCACGAAAGCGUGGGGAUCGAACAGGAUUAGAUACCCGGGUAGUC